GUCCCUAUCGUAUAGUGGUUAGUACAUCACGUUGUGGCCGUGAAGUCCCCGGCUCGAAUCCGGGUAGGGACA
Molecule: transfer RNA, 72 nt
Filed under: Pleodorina starrii
Lineage: Eukaryota; Viridiplantae; Chlorophyta; Chlorophyceae; Chlamydomonadales; Volvocaceae
Description: tRNA-His
Rfam family: tRNA
About the family: Transfer RNA (tRNA) molecules are approximately 80 nucleotides in length.
Source: RNAcentral